Molecule: transfer RNA, 74 nt
Filed under: Oceanococcus atlanticus
Lineage: Bacteria; Pseudomonadati; Pseudomonadota; Gammaproteobacteria; Chromatiales; Oceanococcaceae
Rfam family: tRNA
About the family: Transfer RNA (tRNA) molecules are approximately 80 nucleotides in length.
Source: Rfam by way of RNAcentral
GGGGCUAUAGCUCAGCAGGAUAGAGCAGCCGCCUCCUAAGCGGCAGGUCGCAGGUUCGACUCCUGCUAGUCCCA